CAAGAAGUUGCGAAAGGCUACUCCAACCCUUGUGAACUUACUGAAAAGUUGGGGGCUCCCUCACGGGGACGCAGCCCGCUCCUCAGGGUAGCGGGCAGCCGCCGGAGGAUCCGAAACUCUUGUAUUAUAGUGGCAUCUCUGAGUAGCUUAUAAAAUAAGUUA
RNAcentral lists this unclassified non-coding RNA (162 nucleotides) under soil metagenome. RNAcentral's name for it is "partial internal transcribed spacer 1". The record is from RNAcentral.